This is a non-coding RNA of Sus scrofa (pig), 1796 nucleotides long. The record is from RefSeq and is a predicted model, not a curated record. NCBI's taxonomy places the organism in Eukaryota, Metazoa, Chordata, Mammalia, Artiodactyla, Suidae.
CAUCUGACUGUCAUCUCUAAUGGAAGGAUUGUUAUCUUCCCCUGUUAUCGUUACAGAAGUGAAACUGAGGCUCAGAGAAGCUGAUUCGCUUAGCAUCACACAGCUGGUGAGCAGCAGACCCAACCUUUGAACUCAGGAUGGCGGACAUCACGGCUCAUUUCUAUCUCUGUAUCACCUGAAGAAUCAGAACCCAGGUCCGAGGUUGGGACCAGGAAGACACAGGAUGGGCCACAGCUGAAGGACAAGUAUAAGAUUAGCAGGCUGUGCCUACAACAUGCAGAAGUCCGUGGGUCAGGGAUCGAACCCACGUUACUGCAAUGACAAAACGUCGAAUCUGUAACCGCUAGGCCACCAGGGAACGCCAAUUCAUCACAUUUCUCGAGCACCUACAAUUGCCAGGCUUGGUGGCAAACCCUGGGACUACAUCAGGGAACAUGAUCCAUAAUCCUGUCUCUUGAAGAAUUUAAUUUCUACAGGGAGAGACAGACAGACAGACAAGAUAACUGUGUAAACUAGGGGACAUAUUAGAGAAUGAUGAACAGGAAGGAAAAGCAAAGCAGUGGUCCCAGAUGGAGUUGGCAAGAAGGAUGAUAAGAGUUGAUAGAAUGACAAGAAGGUGACAAUCGAGCAUCAGCCUGAAGAGGUGAGGAAGGGGCGUAUUGCAGGUGACCUGAAGAAGUACGGGCAGAGACAUACCAUCAACAGAUGAGUGGAUAAACAAAAUGUGGUACGAACAUGAGAUGGAAUAUUACUUAGCCUUCAAGAGGAGGAGAAUUCUGGCACAGGUCACAACAUGGAUGAACCUCAAGGAUGUUAUGCUAAGUGAAAUAAGCCAAUCACAAAAAGACAGAUAUUGUACGGCUCCACAUAUGUCGAGUACCUAGAGCAGUGAAAUUAAUAGGGACAAAAUGUAGAAAGGUGGUUGCUGGGGGCUGAGGGAGGACACGUGCGGAACUACUGUUGAACAGGUACAGAGUUUCCAUUUUAGUGGAUGAAGAAGGUUCUGGAGAAUGGCGAUGGUAGGACAACACAGCAGAAGCACGCCCGAUUGCGUGUGAAAGAUCAGCAAGUGGUCUUUUGAAAGACCAGUGUGGCUGAAAGGAGUGAGUAAGGAGAAAGUGCUAGAAGAUGAGUUGGGAGACAUGUGAGGACAGGGGCAGAUGACUUACCAUGUUUCGAGUCGCCGAGGACCCUGGCAUCUCCUCCAGCGAGCAGAAAACUACUGGAAGGUGGAGAAGUGGCAGCAGAUGAAACUUUAAAAGGAAAGAUUGGAGAAGAAGAGGGGCAUGAGCCAAGUAAGCUCUGGGGGAGCUUCGGAAUUAACCAGCUCCCCCACAUUACUGAUGAGCUUCUUCCAGCUAAUGGAAUAAUGAAAACACAAAACAGAUUUACCGUUCUUAAUAAGAGAGAGAGAUAAUGAAGGCAAAUUAAAAUGGAAGCUCAGAUCUGCGUGGAGAACAGCUUGCUGCCAUGCAUGUGGCUCAAAGACAAAGGAAAGCGCUUAAUAAAAAAAAGCAAAAAAUUACCUGAGUUUGUGGACCAAGAAUAAGCCAAGAACAACACUGGGGGCACCGUGGAAUAGCUACAACAGAGACUGUGUAUCGUGAGCGGGUUUGGCUCAACCUUGGGUUCUGAGCAACUGCAAGGUGAUAUACCCUUUCUCGAAGCUUCCACCAUCCUCACUGGAAGAGCCAAAGACCCUCAGGUCAGCAGGGCAGGCUUUCUGGCUCCUCUGUCCCCUUAGAAGAGGCCAAGAUGGCAAUCUUGACUUCAGAAUCUUUAUUGGAAAAUAAACA